GGCUCCAUAGCUCAACUGGAUAGAGCAUCUGCCUUCUAAGCAGACGGUUACAGGUUCGAGUCCUGUUGGGGUCACCA
This 77-nucleotide transfer RNA is filed under the name Saprospira sp. CCB-QB6. Its description in RNAcentral is "tRNA-Arg". It matches the Rfam family "tRNA". Rfam says of the family: Transfer RNA (tRNA) molecules are approximately 80 nucleotides in length. Their secondary structure includes four short double-helical elements and three loops (D, anti-codon, and T loops). The record is from RNAcentral. Lineage: Bacteria; Pseudomonadati; Bacteroidota; Saprospiria; Saprospirales; Saprospiraceae.